GUGUCAGCCGCCGCGGUAAUACGUAGGGUGCGAGCGUUAAUCGGAAUUACUGGGCGUAAAGUGUGCGCAGGUGGCCGCGCAUGUCGAGUGUGAAAUCCCCGGGCUUAACUUGGGAAUUACGCUCGAAACUACGUGGCUCGAGUGUGGCAGAGGAAGGUGGAAUUCCACGUGUAGCGGUGAAAUGCGUAGAGAUGUGGAGGAACACCGAUGGCGAAGGCAGCCUUCUGGGCCAACACUGACGCUCAUGCACGAAAGCGUGGGGAGCAAACAGGAUUAGAUACCCUGGUAGUCCACGCCCUAAACGAUGAUGACUAGUUGUUGGGGGAGUUAAAUCCCUUAGUAACGCAGCUAACGCGUGAAGUCAUCCGCCUGGGGAGUACGGUCGCAAGAUUAAAACUCAAAUGAAUUGACGG
Molecule: ribosomal RNA, 413 nt
Filed under: uncultured bacterium
Lineage: Bacteria
Description: bacterial SSU rRNA
Rfam family: Bacterial small subunit ribosomal RNA
Source: RNAcentral